Molecule: long non-coding RNA, 4847 nt
Organism: Trifolium pratense (red clover)
Lineage: Eukaryota; Viridiplantae; Streptophyta; Magnoliopsida; Fabales; Fabaceae
Exons: 5
Source: RefSeq, a predicted model, not a curated record
UUCAACUGUGGCUGAGGUUAAUCUAACAAUCUGAUGAUUUCCAACUGCCUCUGCGCUUUGUACUACUUCUGCAUCCUUUCUUCUCUCAUUCAUUCUUGGAAUAUAAUAGGUCUUUCUCUCCUGUGUGUGAGCUGGUGUUGAAGUUUUCGUGUUUAAUCUAGUGUGGAAGUGGUGUUUCAGUAUCCAGAACCUCGGUACUACUCUGUCAUAAGUUUCUGUGGCAGGGAUUAUCAAGGACAUGUUCUUGCUUUGGUAGAGAGCCUGUGAAUGUUUUUGCUUUGGUCAAUUUUCCUUGAACGCACUUGAUUCGGAAUACGUAAUCAUCACGGAUAGCUUCAGUUGUAUGUUGUACUCGUGUCCUGUGAAAUUAUUAAUAAGUGCACAUGAACCUCAUGUUUUGCUGGAUAUGUUCUUUGAUCGCAUGCAAGCUGGUGUCGAAGCUGUGCGUUUCAGUAUGCAGAACUUGAGUACUACUCUAUCAUAAGUGGCUGGCUCUAGGAAUUAUCUGGUAUUGCAUGUGGCAAGAUAAAACCGGUAAUUUGGUCUGUGGCAGGAAAGUAGAGGUUAACAUACUAAACAUAACUUUUUUCAUAUCUGUUUGUCUUUUGAUGGUGUGUCUGCUAGUGUUGGAUUUCUUAUUUUCUUUUUGUAUCUACCACUUGUGCCACACUAUGCUGGUCUUUGGUUCUGUUACUUUACCACUUCCUUUGUUAUGAUUCUUUAGGCUAUUCUUGUCCACUGUGAUAUAUGAAUCUUCUCUCUCUCAAAUCGGUAUGUCACAACGGGAAGCCUAAAAAAUUCUCAUUUCACAUGGCGCUCUGCAAUUAAUUGUGGCAUAUAUUUCACAUUGUUAUAUUUUGAAGCAUUUGGUGAUUUCUAUUUUGACUAUGAAUUCUUCAUGUUUCUGUCUCUUGAAUUUAGUUUUCUUAACAUACUUUCCAUUCAAAUCAGCUUUGGGAUCUUUCAUGGUUUUACGUAAUAUUUGUUGCAUCUUGCUAGUCUUGGUGAUUUUGUGUUUUGCAAGUGGAACGUGAGAACUGAAGCAUACAAGAUUCUAAAGUAUAUCUUUUCUCACUCCCCUUGCAUGAGGAAUCUGGACUUAAUUUUACUUGAGCUGCUUUGGUGCGUUUUACUUGAUCCGUCUGGUAUAUAGGUGGGAAGCCUAAUUUUUGUAUCAUUUAACAUGGAGGACCAGAAUUUCCAAUUGGUUGUGACAUAUGUUCUCAUUGUUGUUAUGCUUUCAUUUGGCGAUCUCUACUUGACUAUAAAUUUUUCAUGGUUCUUUGUCUUUUAAGAGGAUCUAAUUUUCGCAUUGGUUUCAUGUUGGGGUCAGGGGGAAUAUCGAUUGUGUGUAGAUGUGGUGGAGAUUAUCAAGGACAUGGACUGUGAAAGCACAAAUUUGAACUUACAGGGGAGAUAGCCUAUGAAUGUAAUGUGGGAUUGAAAGUUGCGACGACAGGCCUCACUAUAAAACGGGUUAUGUUCCCCCUUAACUGUACUUGUUCUUGAAAGUCGUUGUCUUUGAGAUGGUGUCAUGUGGCGAUGUUUAUUUUUGUGAUUUUAUCAGGAAUUUUCCAUACUAAUAUGAUGGGUAGAGAACAACAAACAACUCUAGAUAAAUCCAGAUUUUUCUAAUAGUUGUGCUCCUUUAUUAUUUUUUCAUUGGUUUGAUCGCAUGUAUUAUGAAACCUGUUUUCUGCUGUGUUGUAGUUUUCUUCAAGAACAAGUUUUGUCUGCAGCGUGGUAGUUCUUCAUAGCAUAGCUCCUCGAGAUUUGAUUAAUUUAUCUCUAUUGAAUUCUAUCUUUCCCAUGAUUGUAUUCUAUAUCGUUGGUGGUUUUGGUUUUUGCUUCUGAAUUUUUCUUUUCUUGAUUUGUUAAACCUAAUCAAGUUGUUUUCCAUCUUUGCUGGUUUCAAUCUCGGAGUUUAUUGUACCUUCAAUUAUUUUUAGCUUAUCCAUAAAACUCUUUUGAAAAGACAGGAAAGGCUGAAAGUUGAAUUCGUGAAAAGCUCUGUCAUUCUUUACCAACAUAAUCAUCCUAAGACAUUGCAUCCAAACUUUUAUUUUGGUAAACUCUUCUUCAUUCGUAAAUUAUUUUCAAUUCCUUAUUCUCUAUGGAGUUUUAUUGUCCAUUCUUGUUCAGCCUUAGGGUUUUCACCCAUCAAUACUACUGUUUUCUUACAUUGGAACAAUGCGAAAGUGCUGGUGAAAUUGGGAAAGCUUUGUGGGGCUCUCUUUGUAACUAUGAUAUUUGGAUCAGCAACUUGGUUUGGAGAUUAUGCUACUAUUAUUUAUUUAAUCUUGGUUUUUUCUACAACUAUUUGUCAAAGCGUAAUUUUGUUGUACAGGUCUGGUGAUCACAGGGAGGUUUACAUUGAUUUGCUGUAUUUCAUAAGUAUUCUUCUUUCUCAAAUGCACUGCAACAUGUUAAUUUUGCUAUCCGAAGUGAAGGAAUUUGGAGAUGAGUGCCUCUGUGAUAUGUUUUUCUGGCUAUGUUAUAUAUUUUCAACUAUUGCUUGGCUUAAUUUGGCAAUCUGAACUUAGAUUUGAACAUUUCUGCAUUCAUGCUUCUCUGAAAGCUUGGGCGAGAUUAUCGGUAUUCAUCAUUGGGAUAUAAUUGAUUAUUUUCUUUAUAUGUAUAUCCCGAACCUGAGUGCACGAUUUUGGAAUGAUUCUUUGCCCUUCCCAAGAUGAAGAAUCUUGGACGACUUGGUUACAUUGCAGGUGUUGUUUGUUCUAAUGAUUUGUUCGUUGGGAGAGGUUUUCUAUAAUCUUCUUUAACUUGUUUCUAUUUUUAUUUGUGAUUUAAAUGAUGAUGAUGAUAAUACUCGUAAAAAGAUAUCCUUUGAUAGUGUAUUAUGACAAUGUUGAUUUUAGUAUUAGGAGAGCUUCAGUAGUUAUGGUCAUGUAGUACUUGUCCAUCUCUCUCUUGCAUAAUCAGGAUACAUGUCUGUUUUUCAGUGAGUUGAAGUUUGGAUAUCUCGUUUGUAGAUACUUGAUACAAUUGGAUAAGAAAGGAGAGUAUAGGUAAUUCAAAUUUCUUCAAUGAGUUGUGGAUUACUUUUCUGCAGCGUGGUUUGUCAAAAUAAUCUUCUUCAUGGCGGUAGAGACUUCAGUUUUGAUUUGGUGAUCUCUAGUAAAUUCUUUAGUUUCAGUAUUUGUUCAUUGAUUUUGAGAGCAUAUAUUUAUUGAUUGAUUUGUUAUUUUUCUCUUUGGUUUUGCAGGAGAGGUAAUCUACAUGCACACGAUUCCUCUGAGUUCUAUCUUCCUCUUGUUUGAUCUUUUAGUUUUUGUUUUCACACUCUUUUUUUCCUGGUUACUUUAGUUUUCACAAUAUUGAGAUAUUCUUUUAUCCAUAUUGCAGCAAGCUUCUGGUUCUAUAUUCCUCAUGUUGAUCUUCAUGUUUAAUAUUUGAUGAAACAUGUAUCUGCUUAUUGGACAUUGCAGUAUAGCGUGUUUUGAAACAAUAACUUUCUGUGUAAUACCAAGCAAUCAGGUUUAUUUUGUACACUUCUUGCAAUGUGAAUUAUUUCGAUUCAUUUUCUCUAGAGUUUUAAAUUCUUUGAUUUUUCAAUAUUUCAUCGGUAUUGUUAUUCUUUUCAGGUUGAUUAUUUUGGGUUCUUGCUUCUGAGAUAUUAUUUGGUUGUUGUUGCAUUCAAACUUGGAGUUUGUCGCUCUUAUUUUAAUGAUGAUACACUACGAUUAUAGAGUUCAUUAGGUUUUUAGUCGACUUGUUUUCUAAUUCCUCUUUGGGUCAAAUAUUAUUCUUCGAUUGAGUUCUGAUGUGAAUUUUCUUUUUGAUGUGUUUCAAUUUUGACAGCACACUUUGUUUUUAACCUGUAAUCUGGCACUGCAGAAGUUUACACGAUUCUGGAGAAAUUUUGAGAGCUUUGUGGGGCUCUCUUUGUAAUUAUGACCUUUUGGUCAGCGACUUGGUUUGGCGAAUUAUUCUACUUUUCUUUAUUCUUGGUUUAUUCUACAACUAUUUGUCAUAGUAGUUUUGUUGUUCAUGUAUCUUCUUGUGUCCACAGUGCAAGUACCUAGAAGUCUCUAACACACUGCACCUUGUUAAUUUUGUUGUGCUGUAGUUGGAGAUGAGUGCCUCUGUGCUUUGUACUACUUGUGUCCUGUGAAAUAUAAUUUUAUUAACAUUCCAUGUUUUUUGACUUUUGAUCAAAGGUUUUCUGCAAUGUGCUGCACUCAUGGAAGUUAUACACGGUGCCAUUGAUGCUGAGCGGAGCAUUGUUUCCUCUGAUGCAAUGGACAGGAAGGGCUCAGUUUGUGGUUGUCAUUGUUCAGACUAUUGAUGAGGAGUUACCUUCUGUUUUUAUAACUUUUCUUGCAUGGAGUAUAGCCGAGGUAAUGUUUUUAUUCGAUUGGAUUCAUUUAUGUUGAGUAUGGUUCUUAUUCACCGAUAUGUAGACACACACUCAAGCCUGUUUUUUAAGAGCCAUGAUUGCUACUGGAACAAUUUUAUUACUACCAUGACCUUGCUUGUUGUUUAAAUUAUUAUAAGAUCUCGUCGAACAAUUUAUGCUAUGUAUUAAGUUUAGAAGAGGUAAUCAUUACUUAAUAAAAUGAUCUUACAAAACAUGACAUAUAUCACAGAAAAUCAAAACAUUUGAAAACAGGAAAAUGCAAAUAACAAAGAGCACCUAAGAUAGAAAGCUAAUUAAGGAAAUUCAACCCCAUUUCAAUUAAAACUUAAGGGGAAUUUAGACCUUAAUAGUCCGUGACAGGUAACUGUUCAUAAGAGCUAGCGGUGACGAAGAAAAUUUCAUAGACAACUACAGCAAUAGCCGAACCAAUCAACGGGCCGACCUAAUUGACCCAAUGAUUAGCCCAUGU